GCAGUUGCCCGUGUCUGUUUGGGAGCGAGCGGUGUGAGAAAACAAGAAGCGAGGAAGAGCCGAGAUCGGUUGAGGGUGUGAAAGAGAAUCGAAUCCUUCAGUGGUCCUUCUCUGACGUGAUUGGGAUCUAAAUGAAAAGACAGAGGACUCAAAGGACGCGGCAGAAAAUGAGACGUGAAGUUUACGGAGAACAAGAAAGACGUCAAUGAAGAAAGUUUGGAGAAGUUUCGGGUGGAAUCUGAAGUGAGACGUUCCCCCUCCACCUUGCUCUGCUGCCAGACUGGAGCGCAUUUGCCACCAACUGGACAGGAGGGGGAAUUACAGCUACAAUUUACAAUAGAUCACCCUCAGCGUAAUCUGUCAAAAUGACAGACGGCCUUCAGAUUUUUCCGUCACUGAUUAAAAAUUUCUGUCAAUGAUGGAGAAUUUUCGGUUAACGCGACCUCUUAUAUAUAUAUAUAUACACUCCCCUCCAAAUGUAUUGGAAGAGUGAGGCAAAUUCCUUUAUUUUUGCUGUAAACUAAAAACAUUUGGAUUUGACAUCAAAAGAUGAAUAUGAGACAAGAGAUCAACAUUUCAGGUUUUAUUUCCAGGUAUUUACAUCUGGAUUGACUUAAACUAGAUUUAAGUGAAUAAGACUUAAUAUUUAUUUGCAAAUACUUUGCUUGCAAUAAUUGCUUCAAGCCUGUGACCCAUUGACAUCACCAAACUUUAGCCUUUCUAUCACUUUGGUCUUUGUCUCAUCAGCCUCUGUACUUUCUGGCAAAUUCCAGCCUGGCCUUCUUAUUCUUAGGAGUCUACCCAUUCCAGGUCUGUUACUUACUACACUAGUGGUUUCUUUCUUCCUUAGGAUAUUGCACUGGCUAUAACCAAUGUUUGUGCAAUGCAUCUUCUCUCGGCUUCACAAUCACUUGUUUUUCACCCAUAGACAGCUCUGUGGUUUUCAUGUUGGUUACACGUCUAACUACAAAUGCUGCCAAAACCCAAAUCUGAAACACAGCACAUUCAGUGCUAUUUAUAUUUUGAAUGAUCAAUGUAUUAGGACACACCAGAGCUACAAAACACACCUGUCUGUCACAUGUUCAAAUACUUUUGGUCACAUGAGAAAUGGGUGGGUUCAGAAAAUAUGUGCUCUCUUCUAAGUUGUGUACCAGAUAUAUAUCAUGAUUUCCACAAAAAUAGUAACACAACUGUUUUCAACAUUGAUAUUAAUAAGAUUCCUGAGGACCGAACCAGCAUAUUACAAUGAAGACUUAAAUAAUGAACGCUGAAUAAUUCAGCUUUGUCAUCACAGGAAUAUCUUAUUAUAGAAAGUAAUUAUUAUAAAUUGUAAUAAUAUUUCACAGUAUUACUGUUUUUACUGUUUUUGAUCAAAUGCAUGAAAAUAAAAGCAAAAAAUACAAAAACAGUUAUGAAAACAAUUGUUCCUCUUAAUUUCGAGUUUACAUCUUGCAGUUCUGACUUUUUUUCUCAGAACUGCAAGACACAGACUCGCAG
Labeo rohita (rohu) is the source of this 1497-nucleotide long non-coding RNA. RefSeq lists it as uncharacterized. The record is from RefSeq and is a predicted model, not a curated record. The transcript has 3 exons. NCBI's taxonomy places the organism in Eukaryota, Metazoa, Chordata, Actinopteri, Cypriniformes, Cyprinidae.